RNAcentral lists this ribosomal RNA (674 nucleotides) under Serratia nematodiphila DZ0503SBS1. Its description in RNAcentral is "bacterial LSU rRNA". It matches the Rfam family "Bacterial large subunit ribosomal RNA", at positions 155 to 872 of the family's 2925-position model. Lineage: Bacteria; Pseudomonadati; Pseudomonadota; Gammaproteobacteria; Enterobacterales; Yersiniaceae. The record is from RNAcentral.
GUCAUGAAUACAUAGUGGCAUGAAGGGCGAACCGGGGAAACUGAAACAUCUAAGUCACCCCGAAGGAAAAGAAAUCAACGACGAUUCCCCCAGUAGCGGCGAGCGAACGGGAGGAGCCCAGAACCUGAAUCGGCUUGUGUGUUAGUGGAAGCGUCUGGAAAGUCGCGCAGCAAAGGGUGAUAGCCCCGUACACUAAAUGCACAGGUCGUGAGUUCGAUGAGUAGGGCGGGACACGUGACAUCCUGUCUGAAUAUGGGGGACCAUCCUCCAAGGCUAAAUACUCCUGACUGACCGAUAGUGAACCAGUACCGUGAGGGAAAGGCGAAAAGAACCCCGGCGAGGGGAGUGAAAUAGAACCUGAAACCGUGUACGUACAAGCAGUGGGAGCACCUUCGUGGUGUGAUGCGUACCUUUUGUAUAAUGGGUCAGCGACUUAUAUUUUGUAGCAAGGUUAACCGUAUAGGGGAGCCGUAGGGAAACCGAGUCUUAACUGGGCGACUAGUUGCAAGGUAUAGACCCGAAACCCGGUGAUCUAGCCAUGGGCAGGUUGAAGGUUGGGUAACACUAACUGGAGGACCGAACCGACUAAUGUUGAAAAUUAGCGGAUGACUUGUGGCUGGGGGUGAAAGGCCAAUCAAACCGGGAGAUAGCUGGUUCUCCCCGAAAGCUAUUUA